RNAcentral lists this ribosomal RNA (3011 nucleotides) under Bacteroidota bacterium. Its description in RNAcentral is "23S ribosomal RNA". It matches the Rfam family "Bacterial large subunit ribosomal RNA". Lineage: Bacteria; Pseudomonadati; Bacteroidota. The record is from RNAcentral.
GGUUAAGUUACUAAGAGCGUGCGGUGGAUGCCUUGGCACGAGAAGGCGAUGAAGGACGCGGUUACCUGCGAUAAGCGUCGGUGAGGCGGAAGCAGCCUUUGACCCGACGAUUUCCGAAUGGGGCAACCCAUCUAGCGUUAUGGCUAGAUACUAAGCGCUGAAUACAUAGGCGCAUUAGAGCAAACCGGGAGAAGUGAAACAUCUCAGUAACCCGAGGAAGAGAAAGAAAAUCGAUUUCCUGAGUAGCGGCGAGCGAAACGGAAUCAGCCUAAACUGAUGUGCACGUAAGGAUGCGACCGUUGUGCACACGGUGUUGUGGGACUUUCAGAUUGUAUCGCUUAUCAAUCAUAGAGUUAAAAAUCAACAUAAUAGUCGAAUGUUCUGGAAAGUUCAGCCAUAGAGGGUGAUAGUCCCUUAGACGAAAUUAUGUUGACUCUAGAAAGUAUCCCGAGUAGCACGGAGUAAGUGGAAUUCUGUGUGAAUCUGCCAGAACCAUCUGGUAAGGCUAAAUACUCUCUCGUGACCGAUAGUGAACCAGUACCGUGAGGGAAAGGUGAAAAGAACCCUUAAGAAGGGAGUGAAAUAGUACCUGAAACCGCAUGCUUACAAACGGUAGUAGGAAAUCUUAUAUCUUCGGAUAUAAGAGGACUGACUGCGUGCCUUUUGCUUAAUGAGCCUACGAGUUGCUCGUACGAUGCAAGGAUAAAUUUCUAAGAAAUGAAUCCGUAGCGAAAGCAAGUCCUAAUCGGGCGAACAUAGUAUCGUGCGGCAGACGCGAACCCGUGUGAUCUACCCUUGGUCAGGAUGAAGUGACGGUAAAACGUCAUGGAGGUCCGAACUGAUGUGGGUUGAAAACCGCUCGGAUGAACUGAGGGUAGGAGCGAAAGACCAAUCAAACUCGGAGAUAGCUCGUACUCCCCGAAAUAGCUCUAGGGCUAGCCUCAAGUUAUAGUAUUGCGCAGGUAGAGCACUGAUUGGGCUAGGGCCGUCACAACGGUACCAAACCCAGACAAACUCCGAAUUGCGCUAAUAUGUUUCUUGGGAGUCAGGCGGCGAGGGAUAAGCUUCGUCGCCAAAAGGGAAACAACCCAGACCACCAGCUAAGGUCCCAAAAUCGACGUUAACAGAGAAAGGAUGUUGAGUUGCUUAGACAACUAGGAUGUUUGCUUAGAAGCAGCAAUCAUUUAAAGAGUGCGUAAUAGCUCACUAGUCAAGCGACUUAGCGCCGACAAUUAUCGGGACUUAAACGUCGUACCGAAGCUGUGGACUUCGCUUUAUUGCGAAUGUGGUAGGGGAGCAUUCCAUGCUGCAUCGAAGGUGACAGGUGACUGUUGCUGGAGCGCAUGGAAACGCAGAUGUAGGCAUAAGUAACGAUAAGAAAUACGAAAAAUAUUUCCACCGAAAAUCUAAGGUUUCCUGAGCAACGUUAAUCGUCUCAGGGUUAGCCGGAUCCUAAGAUGAGGCCGAGAGGCGUAGUCGAUGGUAAACAGGUAAAUAUUCCUGUGCUUGUUUGUAAUCGUUUGAUCAUAAGGAGUGACACAGAAGUGAACUUCAGCCACCUAAUGGAUGGUGGUUUAACCGCGUAGGGUGGACGUGUUGGUAAAUCCGCAUGUCCGUUAAACCGAGACGGGAAUAGGGUGCCCGCAAGGGCCACAACUGAAGCUAAUCAGGCUGUCGAGAAAAACUUCGUAUGAGAGAAUGCAAACAAACCGUACCGCAAACCGACACAGGUAGAUGAGUUGAAUAUACUAAGGUGCUCGAGUGAGCCGUGGUUAAGGAACUCGGCAAACUGACUGCGUAACUUCGGGAUAAGCAGUGCCCAUUGUACGUUGCUGUGUACAACAGCUGCGGAAAUGGGUCGCAGUGAAACGGGCCAAGCGACUGUUUAACAAAAACACAUGUCUCUGCUAAGACUUUAUGUCGACGUAUAGGGACUGACACCUGCCCGGUGCUGGAAGGUUAAGGAAGGGAGUUAGGCGCAAGCCAAAGCCCUCGACCGAAGCCCCAGUAAACGGCGGCCGUAACUAUAACGGUCCUAAGGUAGCGAAAUUCCUUGUCGGGUAAGUUCCGACCUGCACGAAUGGUGUAACGACUUGGUCACUGUCUCAACCACGGGCUCGGUGAACUUGUGGUACCGGUGAAGACGCCGGUUACCCGCAUAUGGACGGAAAGACCCUAUGCACCUUUACUGCACCCUAUUAUUGGGUUCGGACAAAGCAUGUGUAGCAUAGGUGGGAGACUGUGAAGCCGGGGCGCUAGCCUCGGUGGAGUCAACAGUGAAAUACCACCCUUGCUUUGUUGGAAUUCUAACCUAGUACCGUAAGCCGGUACAGGAACAGUGAUAGGCGGGUAGUUUGACUGGGGCGGUCGCCUCCUAAAUUGUAACGGAGGCUCUCAAUGGUUCCCUCAGCACGGUUGGUAAUCGUGCGGCGAGUGUAAAAGCACAAGGGAGCUUGACUGCGAGACGGACAAGUCGAGCAGGUACGAAAGUAGGAUUUAGUGAUCCGUUGGUUCCAAGUGGAAGGGCCAACGCUCAAAGGAUAAAAGGUACGCUAGGGAUAACAGGCUGAUCUUGCCCAAGAGUUCAUAUCGACGGCAAGGUUUGGCACCUCGAUGUCGGUUCAUCGCAUCCUGGGGCUGGAGAAGGUCCCAAGGGUUUGGCUGUUCGCCAAUUAAAGCGGUACGUGAACUGGGUUCAGAACGUCGUGAGACAGUUCGGUCCCUAUCCUAUGCGGGCGCAGGAAAUUUGAGGAGUCUCGUUCUUAGUACGAGAGGACCGGAAUGAACGGACCGACGGUGAAUCUGUUGUCACGCCAGUGGCAUUGCAGAGUAGCCACGUCCGGAUGGGAUAAGCACUGAAAGCAUCUAAGUGCGAAACCCGCUCCAAGAUAAGAUUUCCCUGGGGCUUGCCCCCUAAAGAAUCCAAGGAGAUGACUUGGUUGAUAGGCUACAGAUGUAAACGCAGUAAUGCGUGAGUCGAGUAGUACUAAUAAUUCGUGAGACUUGCCAAU